This 2777-nucleotide long non-coding RNA is filed under the name Equus asinus (donkey). RNAcentral describes it as "lncRNA (ENSEASG00005024795.1)". The record is from RNAcentral. Lineage: Eukaryota; Metazoa; Chordata; Mammalia; Perissodactyla; Equidae.
GUCACUUGAGGGUCCUGUCACGUGGGGGUUCUCCCUACCGGGUGGCGCCCCAAGGGCCGGCCCUCCGCACCGACGUCCUUUCGCUGCAGCGGUGGUGCGCGCGCCGCGCUCUCCCCCGUGGCUGGCUCUCGGCUGCAGCGUGGCGGGCGCGCGGAGGCGGCCUGCUCCCCACACUGACCCACGGCCGCUGCGGCGUCGGGGCCCCAUGGCGCGGGGCCUCGGGGACCGAGGGGCACGUCCUUCGGAGGCGGGGCUGGCUCUGGCUCUGGCACUGGCACUGGCUCUGGCUCUGUCUUGAGCGCUCGGCCUGGAGGGCGGGCUGAGGCGGCGGGCGGCGUCAACGCGGUCGGCCGAUGGACAAAGUUUGGAGAGCGCUUCGGGGCAGUACCUCUGGAAGUGGCCCCAAAGCAUACGCACGUCUGGCUCCCAUCGCAGGAGGGCUCUUAACCAGGACACGAUGACUGUGCUAGUGAUCCACUGUCUCCUGCCUGUGACGGUGCUGGUGAUCCACUGUGCCUGCCUGUGACUGUGCUGGUGAUCCACUGUCACCUGCCUGUGACUGUGCUAGUGAUCCAUUGUCGCCUGACUGUGACCAUGCUAGUGAUCCACUGUUGCCUGUGACCGUGCUAGUGAUCCACUGUUGCCUGUGACUGUGCUGGUGAUCCACUGUUGCCUAACAUACCAAAAUGUUGUGGCUUACACAAUAAACGUUUAUUCUCUCUCAGUGUUUGUGGGUGGGCAGUGCAGGAGCCAGUGCCUGGGGCUGCAGGUCUUAAAGGAGGCUGCAGUCAGGCUGUUGGCUGGGGUUCUGUCUCCUGCGCAGGCUCCGCAGGGGGAUCUGCCUCCAGGCCCACUCCCAGGACUGCUGGCAGGACUUCCCUCCUCUGGGCUCUCAGCUCCUCAGUCCCUUGCUUUGGGGCUUCUCCAGAGGUGCUCUCACAGCGUGGCGGCUGGUCUUCCAUGGAGUGAACGGACGAGAGAACCAGAGUGCUCAGGAUGGAGCCACCUCAUCUCCCAUGUGACCCCAUCACGUUUGCUGUGUUCUGACAUUAGAAGUGCAUCGGAUUAUACAGCCUGGGUGGCAGGUCUGAUUACAGCGGAAGCCUGCGAUAAUGAAGGAGCCAGCUACUUCUCUAGGACUAGACGAUUGUUCUGGGUUUGGACUGCUUUCCCCAACUUAUGGAUCUUUUAUCCAGUCCAUCUGUGGACCUACUGAAUACCUUAUACUCCACACAGCUUAUACAGCAUCCCAGACGACACUGCUUCUCACCCAGGAACUCACUUUCCCGUGAAAGAGGUAAAGAAGGGUACUGAUGCCAUCGCAGCAGAAGCAACUGGGUUUACAGAAUAACGGACAGCCCUAUUGAAGGCUGCCUUCUGGAACCAGAUGAGACACACACUUUGGGAUGCUGUCGUAAAGGAUUCGGCAUAUGCUCCAAAUGAGUUAACAGCAUUUAGUGAUAUCUCUUUUGUUGACACAGUGACAAAGUCCAAAGAGUAGAGGGAUUGACGCUAUGCUGUUGCAUCUGACUCAGUGCCCGUAUAUUUUGCUUUCCACUGUGGGGAGAGACUCUGCCGUGGGUCCUGAGCACCCUGCAUAUUAUUGCCGAGCAUGCCAGCUGCGAGGCUUAUCCAUCUCCUGACACUGAACAGUUUCCAAAGCUAGUAACACAGGCACCUACGUGGGUCCAGGUGGCCAGAGCAUUACUACCAUUUCACUGCCGCUGCCCUAGGGGAGAGACUGGCUUGUUUGCUACUUGCUCAACAACUGCGUGGCCCUGGAUUCUCCUCCUGCACUCAACCCGAUGUGUGUAUGGGUGUCAUCUGGCCCACCACAGCCCUGUGGAAACGGGGCUCCAGGAACCGGGGCAAACAUGCGACGCUUGGGCUACUGCUUUGCUCUAAUAAAAAGAUUUUUGUGUCUUACCCAGGAGUCUCCGGUCUCUUGCCAGCAUCCACGACACUGCAGCAAGCAAGCUGCAAGUAGGAUAAAAUCUCAGACCCUUCACUGCUCUUGCCGUCCAUCUGCACAACUCCAGGUUCUGUUGGUAUACCAAUUUUUGUACCCAGAGUGUGCAAGGGGAUACAAAGUUUCCUCUGUACUGGAAGCUGGAAUUGCCUCCUGCUCAUUUUUAGCUCCUUCCCCUAGGUGAGGAGUUAGAAAAGUGGUUAUGGUGCAGCUGGAGUGACUGGCCCUGAUGACCAUGGGGAAAAAGGAGUAGGGAGAGGAGUCUGACAGGGGCAUCUCAUCUCCUGGAAUACCUCCUCGAAAUAACAUGUUGAGUUGUACAAAUUAAGCAGACUCUUGCAACCAUACGGAGGCAAGACGGACUACAGCAGACCUCUGAUAUGUUUUGUAUUUGGUGCUCAGUCAUCAAACCCGUUUCAUAUGUUUGGUGAAUCUUGGUAGGAGAAAUGCUCCCAUCUUCUACUGUGGAAGCUAAGGUCACAUAUCCUUGCUGUCUUUGAUGCUUGACAGCCCAAGUGCUGGCGCAAGACGAAAUAAGCUUGGUCAGUUGGACAUUCCCACCAGUCUCUGAAUCUGGAACGAGUGAUGCAAACAAGCAGGGUGUUUGGAAUCCGGUUUUCAGAGGCCUCACUGCCCACAGCAGUAAACAAACUCCCAGCUCUCCCUGAGGCUGGAACUUGGCUACGGUUUUGGUCAUCUAGCUUCCUUUGGUUUCUGUUUUCCAAAGCUGGUUCUCCAGCCUUUCCAUCAAUUCUGUGAGCGAUAUAUCUAAUAUUCUUCCAAUAAACUGUUUUCCUGCCUAAGUUAA